GUCCUGGAAGCCUAAACCCACACACGUGUCGACACGAUGACCUGGGUGCCUUUGGCUCAUGCCACUGGUUGGUCAUUGGGAUACGUGGAGGCCUAAC
This 97-nucleotide small RNA is filed under the name Pseudomonas floridensis. Its description in RNAcentral is "t44 RNA". It matches the Rfam family "t44 RNA". Rfam says of the family: This family consists of a number of bacterial RNA genes of between 135 and 170 bases in length. The t44 gene is found between the map and rpsB genes in all species in the full alignment apart from Shigella flexneri. Lineage: Bacteria; Pseudomonadati; Pseudomonadota; Gammaproteobacteria; Pseudomonadales; Pseudomonadaceae. The record is from RNAcentral.